RNAcentral lists this ribosomal RNA (384 nucleotides) under uncultured bacterium. RNAcentral's name for it is "partial 16S ribosomal RNA". It matches the Rfam family "Bacterial small subunit ribosomal RNA", at positions 355 to 729 of the family's 1533-position model. The record is from RNAcentral.
UGGGGAAUAUUGCACAAUGGGCGCAAGCCUGAUGCAGCCAUGCCGCGUGUGUGAAGAAGGCCUUCGGGUUGUAAAGCACUUUCUAGCGAGGAGGAAGGUGGUGAGCUUAAUACGCUCAUCAAUUGACGUUACUCGCAGAAGAAGCACCGGCUAACUCCGUACCAGCAGCCGCGGUAAUACGGAGGGUGCAAGCGUUAAUCGGAAUUACUGGGCGUAAAGCGCACGCAGGCGGUUUGUUAAGUCAGAUGUGAAAUCCCCCGGGCUCAACCUGGGAACUGCAUUUGAAACUGGCAAGCUAGAGUCUCGUAGAGGGGGGUAGAAUUCCAGGUGUAGCGGUGAAAUGCGUAGAGAUCUGGAGGAAUACCGGUGGCGAAGGCGGCCCCC